Bubalus bubalis (water buffalo) is the source of this 294-nucleotide long non-coding RNA. RefSeq lists it as uncharacterized. The record is from RefSeq and is a predicted model, not a curated record. The transcript has 2 exons. NCBI's taxonomy places the organism in Eukaryota, Metazoa, Chordata, Mammalia, Artiodactyla, Bovidae.
GGAAUUCGCCUUUACCGCAGGACUGGCAUUCUGUUUUGCUGACCUCUGUGCAGUCGUUCACCAGUUUCUGUCCUGGAAAACAUCCGGAAAUGAGGGCACUCCAGGCAACCCAAUGAGUCAGACACUUAAUUGAAAAGCGAGAAGCACCUGGGCCACUGCCCUCAUCCCUUGCUCCCGCAAGAUGUCCUGGAAGAAGGCCACCCCAGCUGGCAAGGAGGUGAUAACCACUCACAGAGGCUGGCAUCUAUCCACAUUGGGAAAGAGACAGGAAACCGGCUAGACCCGCCCCUUCCC